CACCGCGGUUAUACGAGUAACCCAAAUUAACACUUCACGGUGUAAAGAGUGAUUUAAGGAAAAACUACUACCAUUAAAGUUAAAACUUCAUUCAACUGUUAUACGUACACAUGAACAGAAUAAUCAACAACGAAAGUGACUUUAUACAAUCAGUAAUCUUGACGUCACGACAGUUAGGACU
RNAcentral lists this ribosomal RNA (181 nucleotides) under Nebrius ferrugineus (tawny nurse shark). RNAcentral describes it as "partial 12S rRNA". The record is from RNAcentral. Lineage: Eukaryota; Metazoa; Chordata; Chondrichthyes; Orectolobiformes; Ginglymostomatidae.